RNAcentral lists this ribosomal RNA (338 nucleotides) under uncultured bacterium. Its description in RNAcentral is "bacterial SSU rRNA". It matches the Rfam family "Bacterial small subunit ribosomal RNA", at positions 29 to 395 of the family's 1533-position model. The record is from RNAcentral.
AACGAACGCUGGCGGCAUGCCUAACACAUGCAAGUCGAACGAGACCUUCGGGUCUAGUGGCGCACGGGUGCGUAACGCGUGGGAACCUGCCUUUAGGUUCGGAAUAACUCAGAGAAAUUUGAGCUAAUACCGGAUAAUGUCUUCGGACCAAAGAUUUAUCGCCCUGAGAUAAGCCCGCGUAGGAUUAGCUAGUUGGUGGGGUAAAGGCUCACCAAGGCGACGAUCCUUAGCUGGUCUGAGAGGAUGAUCAGCCACACUGGUACUGAGACACGGACCAGACUCCUACGGGAGGCAGCAGUGAGGAAUAUUGGUCAAUGGCGCAAGCCUGAACCAGCCAU